UGUGCUAAUACCGCAUAAUCUCUCAGGAGAAAAGCAGGGGAUCGCAAAGACCUUGCGCUUUAGGAGCGGCCGAUGCCUGAUUAGCUUGUUGGUAAGGUAAAAGCUUACCAAGGCUUCGAUCAGUAGCUGGUCUGAGAGGACGACCAGCCACACUGGGACUGAGACACGGCCCAGACUCCUACGGGAGGCAACAGUGGGGAAUUUUGGACAAUGGGGGAAACCCUGAUCCAGCCAUGCCGCGUGAGUGAAGAAGGCCUUCGGGUUGUAAAGCUCUUUCAGCCGGAACGAAACGGU
RNAcentral lists this ribosomal RNA (294 nucleotides) under uncultured Pseudomonadota bacterium. Its description in RNAcentral is "uncultured proteobacterium partial 16S ribosomal RNA". It matches the Rfam family "Bacterial small subunit ribosomal RNA", at positions 159 to 454 of the family's 1533-position model. Lineage: Bacteria; Pseudomonadati; Pseudomonadota. The record is from RNAcentral.